UACGGAGGAGGCAAGCGUUAUCCGGAAUUAUUGGGCGUAAAGCGUCCGCAGGUGGCGAUUCAAGUGCGGUUAAAGACUGGGGCUUAACCCUGGAAAGGCCGUGGAAACUGAAACGCUAGAGUGCAGUAGGGGUAGAGGGAAUUCCCGGUGUAGCGGUGAAAUGCGUAGAGCUCGGGAAGAACAUCGGUGGCGAAAGCGCUCUGCUGGACUGCAACUGACACUCAGGGACGAAAGCUAGGGGAGCGAAUGGG
Molecule: ribosomal RNA, 251 nt
Filed under: uncultured bacterium
Lineage: Bacteria
Description: partial 16S ribosomal RNA
Rfam family: Bacterial small subunit ribosomal RNA
Source: RNAcentral